UUGAGGCUGGAGAUCUUUGCGAGAGAAGAAAUGGUCUUUUUUUCCUCCUUUAUAAUGUUUAGUGUAAUAGUUAACUAUCUUUGAAACCUGAGUUUAUAUUAUGUUGCAGGCAGAGAGGAGUUGAUCUCAACUGGAACUGGAGUGUAGAUUGAGGAAAAAAUGAGAUUGUGAUAACAACAUAGUGUGACACGUGAAGAGGCUUUAUAUGGGUCUUUGUGCACUCUGGAAUGGAGGAAUGCUUCCAUUAUAACCUGCAGAACGAAGCCGAAAAACCUUUACUCAUUGUUUAUCCAGACUCAUGACAUUCAUCUAAAUGAUGCUGAUUUCCCGGAUGCAAUUUGGUCAUGAGUUAGAAUCAAGGUGGAACACAAAAUUAAAGUAGCAGAGGUACAUUGGAGCUAUGAGUUUGUUUCUGGGGGAACGAAGAAUCAUCUAGUUUUGGUAAAUAUUAAGAACCAGGGUGUAUUCAUGUGUUCUGACAUUAACAUAUUUGAUAGGCAAAUGCAAGCUUGUGGAGAAGCUGCAGCACUCCUUUACCGAUGAUAGCUAUAGCUUGUUCUUUGAUUCUAUAAGUUGAAUGAAUUUAUCAAGUUCAAUUUUAUCACCUUCCUCAGAUUUUUUUCCUUUUCAAUUUCUUAUAUUUGGUCUUUUCUUUUUGUUGAUAAAAUGUUAAAAUCUCUUGCAGGGAGUCAAGAAGUUCCAAAGUGCAGGAAGCUCUAGAAUCCACAUCUAUUAAGAGGGGGAGGUCUUCGUGUGUGGUCUCUUACGGAUGCUGGGUUCUGGUUUGGAUUCCCUUGUACCCGUGAAUAACAUUGCUUGUGCUGUUGCUUUCUCUGAUUGCUCAUUUUUUAUUCUUUUCCUACACCAACUAGUGAUUUCUUCCAUCUGCUGAUUUUGCAAUUUCUAAAGUAUGACACUCUGAAUUGAGCAACUGUACUUUAAUGUCAUUAAUUUAAAAUAUAUGC
Molecule: long non-coding RNA, 965 nt
Organism: Lotus japonicus
Lineage: Eukaryota; Viridiplantae; Streptophyta; Magnoliopsida; Fabales; Fabaceae
Exons: 7
Source: RefSeq, a predicted model, not a curated record